GCAUUUUCGAGCCAAAAGUGUGAAACGCCUACGCGGGGAAAUCAGUCCAUUGGACCGAUUUCUGAUCCCGCUUCGAUACAUAGGAUAAUGCGACAAAAUAAAUAGUUAGAGCAGUUCCGGCUAUUCUGUUAAAAUAGGAACCGCUCUAAAACAUUUUCAAACCAAAAAACCUCCGGCAUGAACCGGAGGUUUUUUGGUUUUGAAGCUCGCCU
This 212-nucleotide non-coding RNA is filed under the name Brucella sp. 191011898. The record is from RNAcentral. Lineage: Bacteria; Pseudomonadati; Pseudomonadota; Alphaproteobacteria; Hyphomicrobiales; Brucellaceae.